RNAcentral lists this long non-coding RNA (19682 nucleotides) under Citrus sinensis (sweet orange). RNAcentral describes it as "long non-coding RNA (CSIN_LNC004902)". Lineage: Eukaryota; Viridiplantae; Streptophyta; Magnoliopsida; Sapindales; Rutaceae. The record is from RNAcentral.
AGAUGUAUCGGUGAUUAAUACACUGAUUUCAAUGUAUUCCAAGUGUGGAGAUAUUGAUUCCGCUAGAUUUUUGUUUGAUGGCAUGUGUGACAGAACUCGUGUUUCUUGGACUGCAAUGAUUAGUGGGUAUGCUCAGAAAGGAGACCUGGAUGAAGCGUUGAGAUUGUUUUUUGUUAUGGAAGCAGCAGGUGAAAUACCUGAUUUGGUCACUGUGCUGUCAAUGAUUUCAGGCUGUGGGCAAAGUGGUGCACUUGAACUUGGAAAGUGGUUUGACAAUUAUGCCUGUUCUGGUGGAUUAAAAGACAAUGUAAUGGUCUGUAAUGCAUUGAUAGACAUGUACUCUAAAUGUGGAAGUAUUGGUGAUGCUCGAGAGCUCUUCUAUGCUUUACCUGAGAAAACUGUUGUUUCUUGGACAACAAUGAUUGCCGGUUGUGCUUUAAAUGGAGAAUUCGUAGAAGCUUUAGACCUUUUCCAUCAGAUGAUGGAAUUGGAUUUGAGACCAAAUCGCGUAACAUUUUUGGCUGUGCUUCAAGCUUGCACUCACGCAGGCUUCCUUGAGAAAGGAUGGGGCUAUUUCAAUCUGAUGACAAAGGUAUAUCAGGUAAAUCCUGAAUUAAACCAUUACUCUUGUAUGGCAGACCUUCUUGGAAGAAAAGGGAAGCUGAAGGAAGCAUUAGAUUUUGUUCAAAGCAUGCCUAUCAAAUCUGAUGCUGGUAUAUGGGGUACAUUGCUUUGUGCUUGCAAGAUUCACCGAAACAUAGAGAUAGGUGAAUACGUGGCUUAUCGUCUGUUCGAAUUGGAGCCCCACUCUGCAGCCCCAUAUGUGGAAAUGGCCAAUAUAUAUGCUUUGGGAGGAAGAUGGGAUGGAGUAGCAAAUUUAAGAACGAUGAUGAAACGUAACCAGGUGAAAAAGUUUCCAGGGCAAAGCCUUGUUCAUAUUAAUGGGAAGACUUGUACGUUUACAGUUGAAGAUAGGUAUCACUCUGAAUCUGAACUAACAUACCCAAUAUUAGAUUGUUUAGCAUUGCACUCUAAGGAGGAAGCAUAUUCAUCACAUUUAAAGGGGAUUCCGGAGCAUGAAGCUGGAUGACACUUUUAUCAUUUUGACCCGCAUACAUUAGGCAUUGGAAUUUUAGUAUCUGGAUUUUGGAGGGAGAUACAUGUAGAAAAUUGCUUAUGAACCAUUUUUCAUUUCACAUUCUGAUGUUAAAGGAAUUUUAGGAUGAAAUUUUAUAGCACGUACAAUUACAGAAGAAAUAUAAUUGAAUUAUUUCAGAUGUUUUUUAGUAUUAUCACACUUCUGGUUUCUUUGGGGAGAUUGAAGUGUAGAAAGUCAUAUAUAUAGGGGCAUUUCUAUAUGAUAGUACUGCAGCUAUUUAUUUAUUUUUUUAAGUUACAUUCUUUUGUAGGAUAAAUAAAAGUAUAACGAAGGGAAGUAUAGAUCAUCUUCAUUAAACUUACAUAAGGAAGAAAAAUAAAACCACUAACAAAAUUCAGAAACAAAUCAAUAGACAACAAUCACAUUCAAUUUCCUUCUCAUUCUUUCAAUUAUUAGUAGCAUGACAAAUCUUCUUCCCACCUAUGUAAGGAAGUUUAUUUUUGACAUGUUUUUAAUCCUCAGGAUUAAGAGGAAACUGGUUAGCUGUCUUGGUAUAUUUUGGAGGAUGAGCACCUUCCUUGCAAAGAUAAUAACAAUGACAAUUUGGUUGAUGGCAUGCACCCCAGGCAGGUGUUGUGGGAUGCAAAUGAGUGCAAAAUUGAUGGCAUUCUGGUUGCUUGCAUGGAGAGGGUGAGCCUGGUACCUUCUCAUUUUUGCAUACAUGCAACCAUCUAUGGCUUUCACCUGUAACAACACCUCAAACUAGUCAUAUAUAGGAUCUAAAUAAGUUUUAUUGUUUUGAUAAUUUUUAAACAAACUUUCUCCAGGUUUUCCAAAACGGAAAGAUAGUGUCGACAAUUAUAAAGCUCAGAUAUAUGAGUUUCAAAACGUGUUAAUGUUUAAUAAAGUGAGUUUUAUGUAUAAAUAAUUACCUUGAUUAAAGGAGAUAAAAGUGAUGAAGAGGAUUAAAGCUACAGAAAGAGGCCUCAUCUUUGAUUGAAACGAAUUUGAAUUAUUCCGGAUAAAAUUGAAGAAAUUAAGAGAAAGAGUUCCCUUACAUACAAGGGCGAGUGCGUGCUUUGGCUUCGAGUAAAUUAUAUUUAUUAAAGGAAGGCAAAUCCGAGAAAUUUAUGAAAAUGAUCUGGCGUAGCAUAUCUUGAAGUUCUAGUGCCUAAAUUGCUGCAAUAAUUUAUAUAACGCUGAUUUUUUCCCCGUGUAAUAACAUAUUUAAGGAAGAAAAAUAAAACCACUAACAAAAUUCAGAAACAAAUCAAUAGACAACAAUCACAUUCAAUUUCCUUCUCAUUCUUUCAAUUAUUAGUAGCAUGACAAAUCUUCUUCCCACCUAUGUAAGGAAGUUUAUUUUUGACAUGUUUUUAAUCCUCAGGAUUAAGAGGAAACUGGUUAGCUGUCUUGGUAUAUUUUGGAGGAUGAGCACCUUCCUUGCAAAGAUAAUAACAAUGACAAUUUGGUUGAUGGCAUGCACCCCAGGCAGGUGUUGUGGGAUGCAAAUGAGUGCAAAAUUGAUGGCAUUCUGGUUGCUUGCAUGGAGAGGGUGAGCCUGGUACCUUCUCAUUUUUGCAUACAUGCAACCAUCUAUGGCUUUCACCUGUAACAACACCUCAAACUAGUCAUAUAUAGGAUCUAAAUAAGUUUUAUUGUUUUGAUAAUUUUUAAACAAACUUUCUCCAGGUUUUCCAAAACGGAAAGAUAGUGUCGACAAUUAUAAAGCUCAGAUAUAUGAGUUUCAAAACGUGUUAAUGUUUAAUAAAGUGAGUUUUAUGUAUAAAUAAUUACCUUGAUUAAAGGAGAUAAAAGUGAUGAAGAGGAUUAAAGCUACAGAAAGAGGCCUCAUCUUUGAUUGAAACGAAUUUGAAUUAUUCCGGAUAAAAUUGAAGAAAUUAAGAGAAAGAGUUCCCUUACAUACAAGGGCGAGUGCGUGCUUUGGCUUCGAGUAAAUUAUAUUUAUUAAAGGAAGGUAAAUCUGAGAAAUUUAUGAAAAUUUAUUGAAGUUCUAGUGCCUAAAUUGCUGCAAUAAUUUAUAUAACGCUGAUUUUUUUCCCCGUGCAAUAACAUAUUAGUUUUAGAAUCAGUCAUUAAGUUCAUGACCAAUCUACUCGACAGGAAGUGCUUGUUUCAUGACCUUUGUUGGGAUUCUGAAAUAAAAAAUAUUUAUAUUUUGUGUGUGAGUAUUGACUUGGAAACACCGUGACUUUAGCCCCGGGGUGCCUUACCCUCAUGAUAAGUUGAACUCUAGUAACAAUAGAAGGUAUUAAGUGGCUAAAAUUUCUCAUCCUAUUCAAACCUUUAAGGAAAAAAAGAAAUUAAAAUUCUGACAUGUGAUUCUAUCACGAUAUCGACAUGAAUUUUUAAUUAUUAUUUUUAUUUAGGUUACCAGACCCCAACCAACCCCACACACAUACAAAAUGGGAUGCACUAGUCUUUUGGUGUUGUCAUCUCGUUGACUAUGUUUUUGUUCUUCCUCAAAAUGCUGAGGAAAUGGCUUGGGAGUAGACUCUGAAUAGAUCCCUUGCUUUUGCCUGUGCAUACACUGUGGCGGAAAAAUAAUAAAAACAAAUAAAAACUUUAUUACCAUAUAUAUUUUAUUUGUUUGUUUUAUUUUAAUUUUAUUUAUUAGUAACUGCUUUAGGCUAAUCCAGAGAUCGAACAAACAACAUUACCAUUAAGUGCUAAGGCGAUAGCUUGGAACAGCCAAAAGAUGUUUGGCCCGAGGAGUCACAAGACCAAACUCUUCUGUCAUGUCCAAUUCAGUUGGCAACAUUCCCUCAGGAAGCUCCCAAUCAAAGCAAUGCACCAGCUGUGCGGUCACUUGCUUAACGACGGUGAGUGCCAAUUGGAUUCCAGGGCAACCCCUGCGGCCAGAACCAAAUGGCAAAAGCUGGAAGUCAUGUCCGAGAACAUCAACACUACUCCCAACAAAUCUUUCCGGAAAAAACGUCUCAGGAUCAGUCCAGGCUUCAGGAUCUCUUCCAAUUGCCCAAGCGUUUACAAUUACUCGCGAUUUUUUGGGUAUGUGGAAUCCGUUAACUGUGCAAUCUUCCAUAGAUUCGUGUGGAGCCAUCAAUGGCGUUACAGGAUGAAGCCGCAGGGUUUCCCUGACAACCAUGUCUAGGUAUUCUAGGAUUUCCAAAUCUGAUUCUUCAACCAUUCUUUUUAAGCCCACAAUAUUUUCUAGCUCUCUUUGUAGUUUCUUCAUCACAGCAGGAUGCUUGAUGAGUUCUGAAAGUGCCCACUCGACUACCGUUGGUGAAGUGUCUAUUGCUCCCGCAAGCAUGUCCUGAAAUUGAGGAAACCAUAAAUGACUGAAGCAUAUAUCUAGGGUUAAAAAUGACUCAUGCAGAUGAUCUUCUAUGGCAUGUAUAUUGCUAUUUAUGUUUACUGGCCAAGAUCAAUUCUGAUAUUAUGUAUCAAUCACAUGUCUAUAUUUACUCAUGUGAAAGCCAACACGAACACUACAACAAACAGUUAUAUCACCGAUGAAAUAUAUCCGAGGGCGUAAAAUACCUUUGAUAAUAAAUACUUUUUCCUAAGGUGUAAGAUGGCCGUCGGAUAAGGAUGAAAAUAUAAUCAAUAUUCCCGAGGGCAAUUUGCCCUUGAUGAUAAUGAAUGCUUUGUCGAAAAUGCUUGCUAGACUUAACUAGAAGCACCCCAAAAUUUACACACUUCGGUCUUUGAAGUAGAGUACUAAAACCACAAGCCCACAGCCAUAACUUCCAAUAAUUUUUUUCUUUGGAGUAGCGUACUUGGCAAAUUUUUUUCUUGUAAAUUUAAUUACUCUUGGUAAAAUUAAAAACCUAAAAGAAUGAAAUACAAAUAAAAAGAGGAAAUAUCGGUUUGCUAAUAAAGUACGUAGAACAUCCAAGAAACUGAUUAAAAAAUAGAUGACCCAAAAAUUGACAAUUAAUACUCCUUCGUAAGAAACAUGAAUCGGAUAAUUUUGUAGCUAAAAUACAAAAUUCAGUCUCUGAUACCUUUUCGUUUUACACUUAAUCUAAGAACUUAUAAUGGGUCCCCUCUAGAAGGGGGGACAAAUUAUUCAAAAUAUGUGCAGCAAGAGUCUAGAAAUCAUCGGUUCUCUUGAAACUUAUGUUGGUUAUGGGAUUAAAGAAUUACUUAAUCGUACGAAAACCCAGUGGCGUAGGCGUGGCCAUAUUUUAUACAUAGCGAGGGCAAAUUUAAUAUACUUAAAGAAUGCGAUUUGAUGUGCUUACCAUAACUACGGCUUUGAUAUGCUCUCGAUCGAUCUUUUUCUCAGUGUCUUCUGAUCCCUCGAAGCUCAACAUCACGUCAACGAAAUCCUCGGUUCUAUUUUCAUCCUUAGAUUGAAUAUGCUCAUCGAUAAUCUUCUCCAUAAACGCAUCAAACACCUUGGCAACAGCCUUCGAACGCUUUGUCAGGCCCUGAAGAUCAAGUCCUGCAAUUUGAGGAAUGUAAUCACCCAAAUUAGGCUUCCCAACCAAUUCGAAGCCCUCUCGAAUCACAGUCUCAAACCCUCCCGAAUCGAAUUCAUUAUCCGAACGUUUCUUCCCAAGUACCAUUCUACAGGUCAUGUUAGUACUCAAAGCCGAAAGCUUGGCACUUAUGUCAACCACACAACGGGCAUGCGCCGCCUCUUUGAAGUACUCAAUCAAAAGAUCAAGGUCUUCUUUUCUUGUUGGUUGAAAAUAAUUGAUCUUGGCAUUACUCAACAGAUUUUGGGUGCAAAUUUUUCGGAUUUUUCUCCAAUAAGACCCAUAUGGGGCCAUUGCAAAAUUCUUUUGCUGAUAAGACAUAUACUUAGUAGCUUGAAGGGGAGGCCUGCUGGCAAAGAUAAGGUCAUGUGUUUUGAGAAAUUGCUCAGCUGCUUGUGGUGAAGAGACAACAAUUGUAGUCAUUAAGCCCAAGCGUAAGUGCAUGAUGGGGCCAUAUAUUUUGGCUAGUUUAUGUAAAGCUCUGGGAGGAAAUUUGCCCAACAAAUGAAGGCAUCCGAAAAUUGGAAACCCUUUUGGCCCUGGAGGUAAUAAUUUUCUGUUCUUUUUGUUUGUUUUCGAAGAAAAUGCUUGGAGGAAAAAGAAAAUUGCAGCUAGAGCAAGUAAAGUCGAUAACCACGACAUGAUGAUCUAUUAAUGCUAGGAAGUUGAGAAUCCAGUUUUCAGUGAUGAAGAUGCAGAAAUGGUGCAACUGGGACAUUUAUUUUUAUAGUUGGAGAAUUUGUUCGCAGUCAAGAGAGUUAGUGAAGGUGUUUAGUGAUGAGCAUAUAAUACAUACAUAUUUUACCCUUAAUUAUAUAAUUGCUAGUUAUGUUUAUUUAUUAUUUUUAAUUAAUUGAAUGAUUUUAUUGAAUAGGGAAUUAAUUGGGGAUUAGAAAUAAAAAGUACAAAAAGAAUAACAAUUUAAGGGAGUAUUAGUCGAAGCCGUGAUAGAGUUAAGAACCAAGAGCAUAUGAAAGCCAAGCAUGUGAAGCCAAGAGCAAUUUGCAUUUAAAAGGAAUUUCAAUUCUCCAAUUUAGUUGCACGUGCAUGGCAUUUUGGCAUUGCACUAUGUUAAAGGGGCCCGCAGUUGACUUUCAAAAGUUAGAAUUAAUGGCUUAUGGUAGCGUUAAAUUGGAAAAAAGAUUUCAAUUAGAAUUGAAAAAUGAUUUCUUUAGAAUUGUUGGAGAAGAAUUCGGUCAAUUUGCAUUAUAAAAGGAGGGCGGCCGCUAGAGGAAGAAAAAGGAAGCAAAGGCGAUUCGGUAGAGAGGAAAACGAAGAGCUGCAGCAAUUUACUUUUUCCAUGGCUGAUUUUAUUUUUUUUGUUGCUCUCAAUUCAAGUAUAUCUAGCUAAUUUUCUUAUACUGAGGUUAAGGAUGAAACCAUAUUCAAUGAAAUAAUUAUCUUUUUAUUUAAUUAAUUCCCUAUAUAUAUAUUUUUGAUGAUUGUGGUUUUUAUUUCACAUGAUUAGUUGGAUGUUAUUAAAGUCUUUUCAUCAAUUCUGUCAUGCAUUGUUGAUUGUUAGGAUUAAUAUUCGAUUAAAUCUAUGUUUGGAUCUAUAAAGUUUAUACAUGAUUAUCUUUGAUUCUAUAUCUUUUAUUAAAUUGUUUACAUAGAGUGCUUAGGGAAACUUUGACUCUUUGUUAUUUAAGAUGCUUACAUGGGAUGCUUAAAUAUCAUACUAUUAAGCAGAAAAAGAAUCUACAUUAGAUUUAAUUACUUGGGCUUAAUUGUUAUAUCCAUGAGAUGACAUAGAUUGAUUUCAAGUUGUCACUCUAAAAUUGGGGAUUAAUUAAUAAUUAGAUAAUUACUAGUUGAAUAGUGGUAAAUUCUGAAACCUUGGUAAUUUUUAUCUUAUUGAAUUCUCCUUUAUUUUAAUUGUUUCCUUAGUUUAAUUGGUUUAAUUUUCUUAGAAACUCAAUUUGGUCAACUAGGUUAGCAUUAAUAUUAAUUUUAGAUUUAAAUUAGACUUUUUAAUUUAUAACAAUUCUCGUAAGAUCGAUCUCGUUACCACUACUCUAUUUCUAAAUUCGUGCGUUUGUGAGUAUAUAAAAAUUUUUCACGACAUUUAGCUUUUGUGAUAUCCUUCUUUUGCUUCCAUUGUUGUUAUUGGUUGCCGUUUUUGUCGGACUUCACAAGAGAAAGUGACAAGUUUAAAAGAAAGAGUUGCAGUGUCGUCACGACACUCGUACCCAAAAUUUCGGAAAAUUUUGAAAUAAUAGAUUAAGUGAUAGAAAGUGAGUGCCCAUUAAUGACUGGCAACCCCUUGGAAAAAAAUUGCCUUAUGUUUUAGUCGCGCGUCUUCGUUUAAUUUAUUUUUAUAGAUGGAGAAUUUGUUCGCAGUCAAGAGAAUUAGUGAAGGUGUUUAGCUUUUGUGAUAUCCUUCUUUUGCUUCCGUUGUUAUCGGUUGCCGUUUUAAAAUAAUAGAUUAAAUGAUAGAAAGUGAGUGCCCAUUAAUGACUGGCAACCCCUUGGAAAAAAAUUGCCUUAUGUUUUAGUCGCGCGUCUUCGUUUAAUUUAUUUUUAUAGAUGGAGAAUUUGUUCGCAGUCAAGAGAAUUAGUGAAGGUGUUUAGCUUUUGUGAUAUCCUUCUUUUGCUUCCGUUGUUAUCGGUUGCCGUUUUAAAAUAAUAGAUUAAAUGAUAGAAAGUGAGUGCCCAUUAAUGACUGGCAACCCCUUGGAAAAAAUUAAUUUGACUUACGUUUUAGUCGCGCGUCUUUAUUAUUCUACUUUUUAUUGAUAUAAAAUUAUCCAACUUUUUUUUUUCUCCCAAUCAGGCAGUGACAAAGCUUCACUGUAAAUCGAGACUCUAGAUUUGGCGUCUUCCUCUUCAUUUCUAUUUCUUUUUUCAAGUUCAUUUCACAUAAAUUAACAAUUUCUGAUUCUCCCACACAAGACCGCCAACUGUACCUCAAGAUUGAAGGUUUGGUUACCCUGUCUUAUCCUUUUCAUCUUUUUUAAAGUUUAUAUUAUUUGUGCUUGUUUCUUUAAACCGUUAUUGAUCUAUGAUUGAAUUAGAUGGUAUAAGAUAUAAUUAUUUUUUAUUUUCAUACAUUUAAGAUUUGAAUAGUAUUUAUUUUAUUUAUGUUGCAAAAUCUUUUUUUGUUUAUGUAUUAAAAAUUUUAACAUAAACUUCAAAUCUUGUGCUAUGAUCGAAUUAGUCCCCUAACCAAAAUUCUGAACUUACAACAUAACUUUUUAGCAACUACCAAAUCAAAUCUUGUGCUAUGAAGGACGGCUCUUUUCAGAGCUCUGCAUUCCAAUUCUUUAUUCUCGACAGAGAGACAAGAAAAGCAGAGAGGGCUGUGAGCUUAUAAAGAGAGAAAAAUUAGUUCCUCUUUUAUAAAUUUUUUUUCCCCCAGUUUUAAGUGAGAGAGGGAAAUAUUAGUAUGGGGUCCUACGAAGCAAUGUACAUAUGGCAUUGUAUUAAUAUUCGUUAAGGUGAAGCGCGCGGCUGCGUUGUUACAAUAAUUGAGUUUUAUCAAGUUUUACUUUAUUUUAUUUUUUAUUAUUACUAGUCAUUAAAUUAAUCACUAUUCCAAUUAAACUAAUUCCAAGCCUACUCUUGUUAAUAUUACAGGAAGAAGUUUGUGGAAACCUAUCUUGAUAUGUAGUUCAUCUGAAACUCAGUUUAGAGAUUAAUUCCAAAAAAUUAUGGAGAAGCCCAUUUCUAACCUAAGAGAAGUUUUACUAGGUUGUAACCGAAGAGAAGUUUUACUAUGACAACCUAGUAAUUUGAACUAUCACUCUUAACAGUAAUGAAUAGAGGUGUCAACCAUUAGGAUAAGGAAUGGUCGAUAGUUCAAAGCCAUUUUUUCAAUUUAUUAUUUUUGUUAUAUGUUUCAAGCCAAAUCAUAGGGGUGAGUUUGAUAAUGGCUCUUUUUUUCUUGUUGGUCACAUUUCAUGUAAAUCAAUUUAUUCGAAACCGGUACUUGAACUUGGUCGCUAAGAAAAUCCAAAACGCUACUUAAUUACAUUAGAUGAUAAUUAUGUGAAAAAAAAUUCUAAUUGCUGCUGGAGAAAGGGAAAGAAGUCAUGUAGAGACAGAUAGAUAGCUCACCUGUAAAUAUGAGAAAAGAGUGAGUGUUUGAUAACUGUUUUUAAAAUUAUUGUUGUUAGCUGCGCUAUAGCAAUAAUUAGAAGUGAAAAGUACUCGUUAUGUGUUAAACAAAUUUUAUUUUAAAAGUAUCGUGAGUUUUAAAAGUAAUUGCAUAUAUUUAGUAAAUCUUACUAUUUUAUUAUUGUAAGAUUGCAAAUGGUUAAUGGGGACAUAAUGUUAAAUGAAAUCUACUUAAAGAUUCAAAUAAACAUGCAUAUAUAAGUCUCCAGGAGCCAGGCCAGUUGAUUUUUAAGUAACUUAAUUUAGCUAGUCACCUGAUUUAAAAAUUGAUUUUGGCUUUGGUACCCCUCUAUCUUUUUUUCCUUAAAUCUACUACCAAAUGGGAUAAUUUUUCAAAAAAUGAUCUAAAAGAAUACUAACUAUUGAAAUGAUUUUUAACUUCUCAAAAUCAUUUUUGAAUUUCUCAAUAGCAGUCACAAACAGGCCCUAAUGUUAAAAAUUAUUGAGUAACGAUCAUAUAAAUUAUUUCAUAAGCUUUAAGCUUAUUGAAUAAAUUUUAUUGUUAAAGUUCUAAGUUCAAAAAGUUUAAUUUGGCUGACCACCUUAGUUCGACUCGCGGGAAUUACAAGAUUAUAUGAAAUUAAAAAUUUACCAAAACCUUUUAGAAUAAUUAUGAUACCGCACAAAUCAAAUAUUGAGGUACAAUAUCUACUUUCAAAUAUUAGUAAGCAAUCUUCUUUAAAAUAAUUGUUGGGUCGCAAAUGAUUUAAUUUAUUAAUUUGUUUUUUUUUUGUUUCUCUUAACACCUCCUCUAUGCUAAUCCAGAGAUUGAACAAACAACAUUAUCACUAAAUGUUUAGGCAAUAACUUGGAAUAGCCGAAAGAUGUUUGGCCCAAGGAGUCACCAGACUAAACUCUUCUAACAUGUCCAAUCCAGUUGGCAACAUUCCCUCAUGAAGCUCCCAAUCAAAGCAAUGCACAAGAUGUGCAGUCCCUUGCUUAACGAUGGUGAGUCCCAGCUACGGCCAACAACAAAUGGCAAAAGUGGAAAGUCACAUCCACAAAGAUCAACAUUACUCCCAGCAAAUCUUUCCAAAAAAACAAUUUCUCAGGAUCACUCUAAGCUUCAGGAUAUCUUUCAAUUGCCCAAUCAUUUAUAAUUACUUGCGAUUUAUUGGGUAUUUGGAAUCCGUUAAUUGUGUAGUCUCAAUAGAUUCGUGUGGAAUUAGCAAUGGUGCUACUUGAUAAAAACUGCAUGGUUUCCUUGACAACCACGUCCAAUUAUUUGAAGUUUUAUCUAAAUCUAAUUGUUCAACCAUUCUUUUUAAGCACAUAAUAUUUUCUACCUCUCUUUGCAAACUGUGGGAUGCUCUAUAAGUGCUGAAAGUGCCUACUUGAUUACCAUUGGUAAAGUGUUUAUUGCCUUCGAAAGCAUGUGCAAAAAUUAAGGAAACCAUAAAUAACAGAAGCAGAUGUUUAGAAAUCAUCAGUUCUCUUGAAAUUUUAAAUUAUAACGUAGAUUAUGCCUUAAAGAGUUACUUAAAUGUGCCAAAACCUUUAUACCUAGUGGGGGCAAAAUUAAUUUACUUAAAGAAUGUGAUUUGAUGUGUACUUACCAAGAUUGUGCCUUUAGUUUGCUCUCGUUCAAUCAUGCGCUCGGUUUCUUCUGAUCCCUUAAAGCACAACGUAACGUCAACAAAAUAUUUGGUUCUAUUUUCAUCCUUGGAUUGAAUAUAUUCAUUAAUAAUCUUCUCUAAAAAUGCAUCAAACACCUUGGCAACAACCUUUUUAUGCUUUUUCAUGCCUUGAAGAUGAAGUCUUGGAAUUUGAAAAGUGUAAUCACCUAAGUUAGGCUUUAUAGCCAAUUCCAUUCUCUCUUGAAUCAUAGUCUUAAACCCUUUCUCAUCGAAUUCAUCACUCUAAUAUCUCUUCCUGAGGACCAUUUUACUAGCCAUGUCAGCAUUCAUAGCAGAAUCCUUACCACUUAUGUCAACGACACAUUGGACGCACGUUGCCUCUUUGGUGUACUCAGUUAAAAGAUCAAGCGCUUCUUUUGUCAUAAGAUGGAAAUAAUUUAUCUUGACUAUACCUAAUGUUAGGAAAUUAAUGGAUGACGUAGACACAACUAAAGUGAAAUUGAGAAAUAAUAAUCAUCUAUUGACAUUGGAAUUUACGUGGUUUGUCUUUUAGCCUACGUCUAUGGGCAAGAUAUAAAGGUAAAAGUUUACUAGUUAAAUGGAGAUUACAAAUGUUAAAGUAUUUUAGCUUACCGCCAAAACCCCAAUACACCUAAUCUCUCAUUCAUUAAACCAAGAGCUUAAAGCUCUUACGAUACUCUCAAUCUCCAACUAUUGGCUCUAUCACUUAUCAAAUAGAUUGGGAAUUCAAGAAAAUGGGAUCGGAUACUCUUCCUUUGCACUCCAAUCUAUAGACCAAGCAAUGCCCACUUUCCUAGUUUUCAUUGGCGGAUAAUCAUAACUGAGAAAGAAUGUCCCUCUUAUCUAGGGAUGCAAAUCAACAAUGAUGGGCUUUAAAAGAGAAUAUAAUUUUUCACUAACAUUCUCGUUUGGUGCCAAAGUCAAAUGUUGCAUGCUAGCCACACGUCUCCAAUUUACUCAACACUUAAUAAUUCUAGAGUGCAUAUUUUUUAGAUUGUUCUCCAAUAAGACCCAUAUGGGGAAAUUGUAAAAUUCUUUAGGUAAUAAGAAACAUGCUUAGAAGCUUAAAGAGGAGGCCUGAUGGCAAUAAUAAGGUCACGUGUUUUGAGAAAUUACUUGGUUGCUUAUGGUGAAAAAACAACAAUUGUAGUCACUAAGACCAAGCGUAAGUGCAUGAUGUGGCCAUAUACUUUGGCUAGUUUAUGCAAAGCUCUAGGUGGAAAUUGGCCUAACAAAUGAAGGCAUCCGAAAAUUGGAAAACUUUUGGCCCUGGAGGUAAUAUCCUUCUAUUCUUUGUGUUUGUUUUCUAAGAAAAUGCUUGGAGGAAAAAGAAAAUUGCAGCUAGAACAAGUAAAGUCCAUAACCACAACUUAAUGAUCUUGUGAAGUCAAGAAUGUUGUGGACCGAAUUUGGUGCAUAACAAUGUUGACAAAUUAGCCAAAUGUUGCCCAAUUUUUCAAAUUGACAAGGGUGAGCUUAAUGCAAUAGUGCCAUUGUUUUUCCUAUAAAUAGAAGACACUUCUUUCAUUUUAAGUAUCUUAAAUUUGAGAGAAAUAUUUCAAAUGAAGAAUUUUCUAUAGUGAGCAAUUGAGAGAAUUUUCUUUCAAGUAUGUGUGAGAUUAUUGGGUGUAUUUGGGUUCUAAAAAGUGAAGUUUCUUUACUCAAAUAUUAUACUUUAAUAAUUGUUAGUAAUACAAUUAUUUUCUCUCGCUUUCGUGGACGUAGGCAUAAUUAUCGAACCACGUUAAAUUCUCGUGUCCUUUAUUUUUGUGAUUAUUUAGUGCGUUUGAUUCCACAUUACACAUAGAAUAAGUGGCACCAGAGCCUACAUGUGGUGUCAGAGACAGGUUUGCACUUGGGGUGUACAAUACUGUUCACAGAUACGGUACUGUUCACGAAUUUAGGGAGUUUGUACUUACGAGGAUUAGUAGCUUAUAUAGUGGUGUAGAUUUGUGCAUGUUUAGGAAAGUUAUGUCACAAUGGCAAUAAGAGUUUAAAGAGUCUAGGUUUUAAGAGGGACUACUAUGACUCCUACAAUCUUUCCUAGGAACUUUCCUUGCACGUUUUUCCAUAUGUAUUGAUCUCCCAAGUGAGAAUAGUUUAUUAAGAAAAUGGUAAAAAAUGAAACUUCCAAAAGUGGAGAGAGAUCUACUCAGAUUAUUCUAAGAGGCACUUCAGAUGGGAGGUGAAACUUGUCAUAUCACUAUUCAACACCUGUUAUAGGAGGCCAGAAGAUUGAUGUUGAAAAGUUUGAUGGAAAAAUUAACUUCGGCAUGUAGAGGCGUGAGGUUAUGGAUGCCUUUAUUCAAAUCGAUUUUGAUGUUGUUUUAAAAAAUAAAAGACACUUGUAAAAUAAAGAAAUUUAGGAUCGUAUGAACAAGAAAGCCUGUGGUUAGAUCAGAUCUUACUUGACCAAGGAGGUAAAAUAUCUGAUGAAAAAUUAGGAGUGUGCAAUGAUUUUACGGUGUACAUUAGAGGAAAAAUACCUACUAAAAAGUCUUAAAAAUCGUCUUCAUGUAAUCAGCUAGGUAUAUGGUUUUUGAAUGAAGCCCAGGGUUUCAAAUGCACCACAAUAUCUCAAGCUUUGAAAAGUUACUUCUAUAUUCGAAGAAUCUUGAUAAAGAUAUGAAGGAUGAAGUCAAUGCUAUAAUUCUACUGCACUCACUUCUAGAAGAAUAUAACUAUUUUGUGACUACUUUUUUAUAUGGGAAAAAUAUAAUCAUUUUCAAGGAUGUUUGCACAGUACUUAUCAAUUUGAAAAUUUAGAAUAAUGGUAAACAUUCCGAAAGACCAUCAUUUAAGGCUUUGUUAAUAAGACAUUGGAUGAUGGAGAAAAGGAAAAAGGCAGUGGAAAGAAUUCUUAGUCUAAAAAGCAAAAAUAUAGCUUAAGUGUGCCUUUUGUCAUGAAAGGGGCCAUUGGAGGCAAGAUUGUCUGAAAGCUUAGAAGAGAGAUGAGAAGAAACCAGUAGCAGUGAAUAUGGCAUGUAAAGAUGAAGAUUUUAACUAUUCACUAAGUAUUUUGCCUGCAACAUCUGUGAACUUGAGUUUUUUCUAAAAAAGAUUGAAUUUGGAAAGGCCGUGUUUCAUAUUCCGGUUUGUUUAACGCUUAGUAUAGAAAAUUGAGUGAUUCCUCGACAUAGGGUUUUUCAAAUUGUUAUGUCAAGGGAGAUGUUGAAGAAAGGAUGAAGUUUUCCAUUGUUUCUGAUUUUGAGUGAGGAGAAUUUCUUGAAGAAGUUUGUGCUUAGUUUUGAAGAUGAUGCAGAGGAGUUGUUCCAUGCUUACAAGGGCCACAAGUUGGGUUCUUUUUCUAGAGACCAACUAUUGCAAUGAGGACGGUUGUUUUGCCUAACAUAAACCUCUAAGUCUGAUGUAUUUUUUGGCACAGUAACAGAAGGUUUUGAGAGUGGGUGAUAGUAUGCAAUGUAACACCCAUUGGUUUGUUUCACCAUUCAUGAAGUGAUUUUUGGGCAUUUCAAAUGUUCUUGCUGCUAUGUGUUUGAGCAGCAUAGUUUUCAUUGUAGCUUUGAUUUAGAUAUAUUUGUGGUUAUUACGCUGAUUUCAAUGUAUUCCAAGUGUGGAGAUAUUGAUUCUGCCAUAUUUUUGUUUGAUGGCAUGUAUGAGUCUUUAGGGAUGAAAAAAUUACCCACCAAUUCAUAAACCAACCCAAACCCAUUCGCAAAAAUCUGCCCGCUGCGGGUAAUUUUGCAGGUUGCGAGCGGCUUUUGUAUUGCAAACUUAAAUCGAUCCAUUGUGAAUUGCUGGUGGGUUUGGUGUUGGAAGCAAUUCCGCUGGAUACCAACGCGAGGAUCCACCAACCUCCAUUCUUUAUUUUAAUUAUUUAUAUUUUUAUUUUAAUCACAAAAAUUACAUUAAAAAAUUUAAUCAUAAAUAUAUUAAAUUAAAGUUUCUAAUUUCUAGACGUAACUUAUCUCACUGCAACAUAUAUACAAUAAACUUUUAAUAAGUCGAAAUUUUAUAAUUUUUAUUACUAAUAUUUUAUUUUACUUUAAUUCAUUUUGUUUGUUUUGCCUUAACAAUAAUUGUAUAAGCCUUAACAAUAAUUGUAUAAAAUCUACUUGUUAAUAUUAUUGAUAAUACUUAUUUAUUGAUUAAAAAAUGAAGCAAAGUAUUGAUAUUAGUGAUGAUGAUUUGCCUACAAUAGAAAUAUUUUUGUGUUGGAUUAAUAUUUUUUAUGUAUUUUUUAAUGUUGAAAUUUUAAUUUCUUAUUUACAUUGAUAAAAUCUAGAAUUGAAUAUUGUUUGCCAAUAUUUUAAGCUAUUAUUAUAUAUUUAUAGUUUGAAUUAUAUAAUUUAAGUUUUUAUGUACUAUUAAAAAUAUUUUUUAUAUUAUUGAUUUUAAAUGAGGUGGGUUUGGUAAUUGUUAAAACCCACAGCAGACAGGUUUUUUAAAAAAAUAAAAACCCAUUAUAGGUUGCGGCGAGUUUGGUAAUUUAAUUUUUUUGUGGGAGUAAGUUUAACAAUGGUAACACCUCAGCGGGCGGUGCCCGCCAUUUCUGUGUAUGAUAGAACUCAUGUUUCUUAGACUGCAAUGAUUAAUGGGUAUGCUAUGUGUUUGAGCAGCCAAGUUUUUCAGAGCUAGUUUAUGGUCAUAUCUGGCUACGUAUUGGAAGAGAUGAAAGCAUCAAUCAAAUAGUGAACUGCCCUGUAAGGAGAUUAUUUUUUUCUUAUUCCCAGAACCGGUUAUUGUUUAACAAAAAAGGAUAAAAAUUGAAAAAACUUGUUGAUCAAAAUUGUAUUUUUCAGUGUUUGGGCUUGAGAAAGUGUUUAAUGAAAAAUGAAGAUUCCCAAUAAUAUAGGCCAAUUUUGCAUUUGAAAAGGUGUAGAAAUUUGUAGAAUAAUUUGACACAUAAAUGACUAAAUGGUUGUUUAAAAAUUUUCUAUGUUCGACACUUUUUUUCUUUGUUUUGAUAAGAGAUAUCAGGUUGGAUCAUAACUUUAAUUUAAUAUGCAUUGUUAAUCCCACACAAAAGUACGCCACACAUCAACUAAUCUAUCAUCACCAUUAGAUUCAAUAUAAUCAAUGGCUAAUAUUAAAGUCAGGAAAACCUUACCCCAUAUAUCUAUAAAUUCCGACAAUUCGAUCGUUCCUGAAGCAUUGAAGCAGUGAGCACAAAAUAAUUAUAACAAGCAAUGCCAAUGAACGGCGUUAUAAGAGAUAAAUUUACACACAAAAAGAAAACGGAAUCGAACUCUUUCAGAGUUUGGUGUGAACUGAUCAUCAUAUCAUGCGUUAGUUGGAUUUGGGACGCGGCGGAGAAGGAGCGUCAACUAUCAACAAGUAUGGUCCUUAAUUUGUCAUCCGCAAUAACGUGCGGGAUCCAACUACAGCACAGGGGCUCUUCUUAUUUCUGAUGAUUAGACUUUAGAGUGAUAGUGAAUUGAUGAGUCUGGGUGGACUUUUUCGAUUCUAAGCGUAAGUUCAUAUCAGGAAGAAUACAAAGAGUUAUGUGUAGGUUGGGUCUGGGUUUUCACAUAUUUUUUAAUUAUUUUUUUGAAAUUAUUAUAAACUUUUAACGAGUUAAUCAUCGAUAACGAAUUAGAAAAAAAUGAUUAUUUUAAAAUAAAAUAAAAAAUAACGUAAAUAAAAGUUUAUAAAUUUAAUUUAUUAUUAAUACUAUAGUUCAAGCAGAUGUUCUUAAUUAAUUAUAGCUUAAGAGAGAGUUUAGUUGUUAUAAUUUUAAGUUUUUUAAUUUUUUACUAUUUUUUAAAUUUAAAUUCAUAAAUUUAUAAUUUUAAAAAAUAGAGGUCUUGAUUUUUUUUCUUUUUCUUUUUAAACCCUUACCCAAGUCGUUAUGUGAAAGGCCGGUUAGCCCGGAUGUUUUUGUUAAGAGUCAGACUAUUAGCACACCUCCAAAAUCCUAUUGAAAUUGUUUUUUCAAUUUUAUUCCAUGUAAUACCAAAACUAUCCUUUUUUUAAUUUAACACUCUUUUCAUUUAUGGAUUUUUCAGUUUCCUCUCUUCAAACUUUCUUUAUUAUUUAAUUUCUAAAGCAAAAAAUCUAAAAGAAAAACUAAACGAAAGAGUAAGAAAAAAAUUAUAAAAUCUAAAAGAAAAACUAAAAGAAAAAGUAAGAAAAACUCAUACUUACAAAAUAAUGAAUAUUUUAUGAGUUUAAUACAAUUAUCUUACCUAUAAAUUUUGAGUUCAUUGGGUUCAAAAAUUAGUUUGAGAAUUUUUAAGAAAUUAGUUAAAUUGGGGUAAAAUUUUAUUUAAUUUAUUUUUUCACUAUGUUGUAUCUUAUUAAGUUCUUUUUUUUUUCUUUUUGGUUACAAGAAUUAUAUUUUGGCUUAGAAGAUUACUUCUUAAAUUAUUUUAAUGAUAAUAAAAAUUUUAUUUUCAAAAAUUACUUCAAAAAAAGGUUAAAAUAACUUGGGCCUUUUUCAGCCCAAAAUAAUUGGGCUAUUGGAUGGAAUGAAAUGGUUGGUAGAUAAAGAAUUUUGGGUUGGGCCAGCAGUACCCUUAUUUAUGAACUAUGAGAUUAAUGAAGGGGUGCCAAUAGUCCAAUUCUUUUGUUAAUCCCACUUCUGAAAAAGGUUAAAAUACAUUGAGCCUUUUGCAGCCCAAAACAAUUAGGCUAGGUAAAGAAUUUGUGUUGGGCCAACAGUACCCAUAUUUCUGAAUAUUUUAUGAGUUUAAUAUAAUUAUCUUACUUAUAAAUUUUGGGUUAAUUGGAUUCAAAAACUAGUUUGAGAAUCUUUAAGAAAUUAGUUAAAUUGGGGUAAAAUUUUAUUUAAUUUAUUUUUUCACUAUGUUGUAUCUUAAUUAAGUUGUUUUUUUUUUCUUUUUGGUUACAAGAACUAUAUUUUGGCUUAGAGGAUUACUUCUUAAAUUAUUUUAAUGAUAAUAAAAAAUUUAUAUUGUGCUAGCAAAAGAAAAUUGAGGAGAAAAAGAAAAUAUAAAUGAUUUUAAUUAUAUUUAUAUUUAUCCUUAAAUGUAAUUGUAAUAUAACAAAAAUUUUAUGAGAUUAAUGAAGGAUGUCAAUAGUCCAACUCUUCUGUUAAUCCUACUUCCGAAAAAUGUUAAAAUAAAUUGGACCUUUUUCAGCCCAAAAAAAUUGGGCUAUGGAUGGAAUGAAAUGGUUAGUAGGUAAAGAAUUUUGGGUUGGCCAGCAGCACAAAAUGCUUCAAUGAUUCUCUAUCAAUAAAAAGUACAAUAAAAUCAAAACUUUUAGAAGCGGUUAGUAACGGACUUAAUUUUACCGCCAACACAAUGAGUGAUGGCCGUAUCUUCACUUCCACCACGUCUCAACAGAAUUUAUAGAAGUUCAACGAUUAAUCAGUGGAACUCACAAAUAAGAGAAGCAGUGAACAAAAACGAAGCCCACAAAACUCUUCUUCUCUUUCGCCAAAUGAAACAAAACGACAUCGAACCAAACAACUUAACAUUUCCCUUCAUAGCCAAAGCUUGUGCUAAGCUCUCUGACCUUAUAUACUCCCAAAUGAUUCAUGGCCACAUCGUGAAAUCACCCUUUGGUCCGAUAUCUUUGAGCAAACAACAAUGGUGGAUAUGUAAGUGAAAUGUGAUCGGUUAGAUUGCGCGUAUAAAAUAUUUGACGAAAUGGCUGUCAGAGACGUCGCGUCGUGGAAUGCGAUGCUUGUGGGGUUUGCUCAGAUGGGGUUUCUUGAAAACGUUUUGCGUCUUUUUUAUAAUAUGAGGCUUGUUGGAAUCCAAGCUGAUUUUGUCACGGUUAUGGGGUUGACGCAGGCGGCCAUACAUGCAAAGCAUUUGAGCCUUCUGAAAAGCGUUCAUUCGUUUGGCAUUCAUAUUGGGGUUGAUGCUGAUGUGUCAGUUUGUAAUACAUGGAUUUCUUCCUAUGCUAAAUGUGAUGAUUUGAAGAUGGCGGAGUUGGUGUUUUGUGGGAUAGAAGAACGUUUAAGGACUGUAGUUUCAUGGAAUUCUAUGGUCGCCGGAUGCACGUAUGGUGAUAAGUUUGAUGAUUCUCUUAAUUUUUAUAGGCACAUGAUGUAUAAUGGAUUUAGGCUUGAUGUAACUACAGUUGUUAGCCUUCUUUCAUCAUUUGUGUGCCCAGAGGCAUUAGUGCAAGGUAGGUUGGUUCACUCUCAUGGAAUUCAUUAUGGCUUUGAUUUAGAUGUAUCGGUGAUUAAUACACUGAUUUCAAUGUAUUCCAAGUGUGGAGAUAUUGAUUCCGCUAGAGUUUUGUUUGAUGGCAUAUGUGACAGGACUCGUGUUUCUUGGACUGCAAUGAUUAGUGGGUAUGCUCAGAAACGAUACCUGGAUGAAGCGUUGAGAUUGUUUUUCGCUAUGGAAGCUGCAGGUGAAUUACCUGAUUUGGUCACUGUGCUGUCAAUGAUUUCAGGCUGUGGGCAAAGCGGUGCACUUGAGCUUGGAAAGUGGUUUGACAAUUAUGCCUGUUCUG